CGGGUCCUACGGGACGCAGCAGUGGGGAAUAUUGGGCAAUGGGCGCAAGCCUGACCCAGCAACGCCGCGUGAGGGAAGAAGGCUUUCGGGUUGUAAACUUCUUUUGACAGGGAAGAGCAGAAGACGGUACCUGUCGAAUAAGCCACGGCUAACUACGUGCCAGCAGCCGCGGUAAUACGUAGGUGGCAAGCGUUGUCCGGAUUUACUGGGUGUAAAGGGCGUGUAGCCGAGCUGACAAGUCAGAUGUGAAAUCCGGGGGCUCAACCCCCGAACUGCAUUUGAAACUGUUGGUCUUGAGUAUCGGG
This 305-nucleotide ribosomal RNA is filed under the name uncultured bacterium. RNAcentral describes it as "bacterial SSU rRNA". It matches the Rfam family "Bacterial small subunit ribosomal RNA", at positions 333 to 653 of the family's 1533-position model. The record is from RNAcentral.